GAAGGAUCAUUACCGAGUGUAGGGUUCCUAGCGAGCCCAACCUCCCACCCGUGUUUACUGUACCUUAGUUGCUUCGGCGGGCCCGCCAUUCAUGGCCGCCGGGGGCUCUCAGCCCCGGGCCCGCGCCCGCCGGAGACACCACGAACUCUGUCUGAUCUAGUGAAGUCUGAGUUGAUUGUAUCGCAAUCAGUUAAAACUUUCAACAAUGGAUCUCUUGGUUCCGGCAUCGAUGAAGAACGCAGCGAAAUGCGAUAACUAGUGUGAAUUGCAGAAUUCCGUGAAUCAUCGAGUCUUUGAACGCACAUUGCGCCCCCUGGUAUUCCGGGGGGCAUGCCUGUCCGAGCGUCAUUGCUGCCCAUCAAGCACGGCUUGUGUGUUGGGUCGUCGUCCCCUCUCCGGGGGGGACGGGCCCCAAAGGCAGCGGCGGCACCGCGUCCGAUCCUCGAGCGUAUGGGGCUUUGUCACCCGCUCUGUAGGCCCGGCCGGCGCUUGCCGAACGCAAAUCAAUCUUUUUCCAGGUUGACCUCGGAUCAGGUAGGGAUACCCGCUGAACUUAA
Molecule: ribosomal RNA, 557 nt
Filed under: Aspergillus flavus
Lineage: Eukaryota; Fungi; Ascomycota; Eurotiomycetes; Eurotiales; Aspergillaceae
Description: eukaryotic LSU rRNA
Rfam family: 5.8S ribosomal RNA (bases 195-348)
Source: RNAcentral